AAUUAAUUUUAAUCCAACAUCGAGGUCGCAAUCUCUCUUUUCGAUAAGAACUCUAAAAAGAAUUACGCUGUUAUCCCUAAGGUAAUUUAAUYUUAUAAUCUUAUACUAAGGAUCAUAAAUCUACAAAUUAAUAUUUUAAUAAAGAAAAGUUUCAUAAAUUUUCCCAUCACCCCAACAAAAUAAACAAAAAUAAAACAGAAAUCUUAUUCAUCCUUUACUCUAUAAUUUAUUUAUGUUUAUAAAACUCUAUAGGGUCUUCUCGUCUUUUAUAAAUAUUUAAGCUUUCUCACUUAAAAAUAAAAUUCUAUUAAAUUUCUCUAGAGACAGCCAUUUUUCCAUCAAACCCUUCAUUCAAGCUUUCAAUUAAAAAACUAGUGACUAUGCUACCUUUGCACGGUCAAAAUACCGCGGCCCUUUAAUCCCUCAGCGAGCAGGCCAGACCUGAAAUCAUUCCUCAACA
RNAcentral lists this ribosomal RNA (460 nucleotides) under Trigonopterus posoensis. Its description in RNAcentral is "partial 16S ribosomal RNA". Lineage: Eukaryota; Metazoa; Arthropoda; Insecta; Coleoptera; Curculionidae. The record is from RNAcentral.